GAUUAUGGCUCAGGAUGAACGCUAGCUACAGGCUUAACACAUGCAAGUCGAGGGGCAGCAUGGUCUUAGCUUGCUAAGACUGAUGGCGACCGGCGCACGGGUGAGUAACGCGUAUCCAACCUGGCCCUUAGUAGGGAACAGCCCGGCGAAAGUCGGAUUAAUGCCCUAUGUUUUCCAAUGAUGGCAUCUGACUUGGAACAAAGAUUCAUCGCUAAGGGAUGGGGAUGCGUCUGAUUAGCUUGUCGGCGGGGUAACGGCCCACCGAGGCGACGAUCAGUAGGGGUUCUGAGAGGAAGGUCCCCCACAUUGGUACUGAGACACGGACCAAACUCCUACGGGAGGCAGCAGUGAGGAAUAUUGGUCAAUGGGCGUAAGCCUGAACCAGCCAAGUAGCGUGCAGGAAGACUGCCCUAUGGGUUGUAAACUGCUUUUAUGCGGGGAUAAAGUGAGGGACGUGUCCCUUUUUGUAGGUACCGCAUGAAUAAGGACCGGCUAAUUCCGUGCCAGCCGCCGC
RNAcentral lists this ribosomal RNA (514 nucleotides) under uncultured bacterium. Its description in RNAcentral is "bacterial SSU rRNA". It matches the Rfam family "Bacterial small subunit ribosomal RNA", at positions 15 to 518 of the family's 1533-position model. The record is from RNAcentral.